Molecule: transfer RNA, 65 nt
Filed under: Armatimonadota bacterium
Lineage: Bacteria; Bacillati; Armatimonadota
Description: tRNA-Arg
Rfam family: tRNA
About the family: Transfer RNA (tRNA) molecules are approximately 80 nucleotides in length.
Source: RNAcentral
GGCUUUUCCAGAGCAUCAGACUUCGGAUCUGAGGGUUGGGGGUUCGAGUCCCUCCGGGCGCGCCA